UACAGAGGUCUCAAGCGUUGUUCGGAUUCAUUGGGCGUAAAGGGUGCGUAGGUGGUGCUGUAAGUCAGGUGUGAAAUCUCGGGGCUCAACCCCGAAACUGCACUUGAUACUGCAGUGCUUGAGGACUGGAGAGGAGAUCGGAAUUCAUGGUGUAGCAGUGAAAUGCGUAGAUAUCAUGAGGAAGACCAGUGGCGAAGGCGGAUCUCUGGACAGUUCCUGACACUGAGGCACGAAAGCGUGGGGAGCAAACAGG
Molecule: ribosomal RNA, 253 nt
Filed under: uncultured bacterium
Lineage: Bacteria
Description: partial 16S ribosomal RNA
Rfam family: Bacterial small subunit ribosomal RNA
Source: RNAcentral